RNAcentral lists this ribosomal RNA (467 nucleotides) under uncultured bacterium. Its description in RNAcentral is "partial 16S ribosomal RNA". It matches the Rfam family "Bacterial small subunit ribosomal RNA", at positions 28 to 506 of the family's 1533-position model. The record is from RNAcentral.
GACGAACGCUGGCGGCGUGCUUAACACAUGCAAGUCGAACGGAAAGGCCCUGCUUUUGUGGGGUGCUCGAGUGGCGAACGGGUGAGUAACACGUGAGUAACCUGCCCUUGACUUUGGGAUAACUUCAGGAAACUGGGGCUAAUACCGGAUAGGAGCUCCUGCUGCAUGGUGGGGGUUGGAAAGUUUCGGCGGUUGGGGAUGGACUCGCGGCUUAUCAGCUUGUUGGUGGGGUAGUGGCUUACCAAGGCUUUGACGGGUAGCCGGCCUGAGAGGGUGACCGGCCACAUGGGGACUGAGAUACGGCCCAGACUCCUACGGGAGGCAGCAGUGGGGAAUAUGGCACAAUGGGCGGAAGCCUGAUGCAGCAACGCCGCGUGCGGGAUGACGGCCUUCGGGUGGUAAACCGCUUUCGCCUGUGACGAAGCGUGAGUGACGGUAAUGGGUAAAGAAGCACCGGCUAACUACGU